This 497-nucleotide ribosomal RNA is filed under the name uncultured bacterium. RNAcentral's name for it is "partial 16S ribosomal RNA". It matches the Rfam family "Bacterial small subunit ribosomal RNA", at positions 28 to 507 of the family's 1533-position model. The record is from RNAcentral.
GAUGAACGCUGGCGGCGUGCCUAAUACAUGCAAGUCGAGCGAACAGAUGAGGAGCUUGCUCCUCUGACGUUAGCGGCGGACGUGUGAGUAACACGUGGAUAACCUACCUAUAAGACUGGGAUAACUUCGGGAAACCGGAGCUAAUACCGGAUAAUAUAUUGAACCGCAUGGUUCAAUAGUGAAAGACGGUUUUGCUGUCACUUAUAGAUGGAUCCGCGCCGCAUUAGCUAGUUGGUAAGGUAACGGCUUACCAAGGCAACGAUGCGUAGCCGACCUGAGAGGGUGAUCGGCCACACUGGAACUGAGACACGGUCCAGACUCCUACGGGAGGCAGCAGUAGGGAAUCUUCCGCAAUGGGCGAAAGCCUGACGGAGCAACGCCGCGUGAGUGAUGAAGGUCUUCGGAUCGUAAAACUCUGUUAUUAGGGAAGAACAAAUGUGUAAGUGACUAUGCACGUCUUGACGGUACCUAAUCAGAAAGCCACGGCUAACUACGUG